AUUUGCAGCCUGGAGUGUUCCUGGAAGGGCAGUGGCUGGGGCUCUCCUGCUGAGAGCAGAAGUGCUGAUGGCUUUGGCAGUGACCUCGAGGGACAGGACUGCCCCAGGAAUGAAAACCUCCCUCCUGUGUCAUCCUCCAAAGCCCAUGAACACCCAACUGUCCAUAAAGGUGGCAAGAGCUUAAAACUCUCAGAGCAAGGACAGAGGUGACCAGCACUUGAAAAUCCCUGCCUGUGAUCAGCCUCAUCAUACAGCACGUUUGCCUGAACCUCUGUGCCACGCUGUUCACAGCAAGUUUUGUGAAACACAUCAGAUCAUCAGCAGUUUUGCUUCUCUAAGUCGUGGAAAACGUAAAACCUGCCUCACACAAAAGCCAGGUUGGAACAGGUUGUCAGAGUGUAUUUUGGAGGAGCUGGAAUGUCUGGGUGCUACUAAAAGCUGUGGCAAAUGGAUCUCUGACCCUUCUUUGGGACAGCUCACACUGAAAAAGCCAUAUCUGGAUGAUUCAAAUGCAGCUGCAGAAAUUCAGGAGGUGAAGAGUUACUGAAAAUGUGUUUAUAUGUAGGGAUGACCAAUCCAGCAGGAACAACUUUUACCUCUCCUUGAGCUCGGAGUUCAUAACACUCUUUGAACAUCAUCAGCCCUUAAGUGCUGAAACAAGGUGAACAUUCAGCUCCAGAAACUUCAAAUCCAGGGCUAAACAUGGAGUUUGUACUUCAGAGAAGGAAUCAAUUUGGGAUUGUCAUUUUUUGAAACACACUGAGAUAAAUCUCUCUAUUGCUCCCUGCUUUUACAGCUCUUUGGUCCAAGCUAUCAUGGACCAUGGGCAGGGAAUGUUCCUGGUGUUAGCAGCAAUCCACCAAAGCUGUCAAGUGGCUGAGAGCUUCAAACCAGACCCUACAGGUGGUUUGGGGUUCACUUUUGGAAUACUUUAAAGAGACAUGUGGUAAAAGAGCAGCUCACA
Long non-coding RNA from Pipra filicauda (Wire-tailed manakin), 964 nucleotides. RefSeq lists it as uncharacterized. The transcript is spliced from 8 exons. Lineage: Eukaryota; Metazoa; Chordata; Aves; Passeriformes; Pipridae. The record is from RefSeq and is a predicted model, not a curated record.